This 592-nucleotide ribosomal RNA is filed under the name uncultured Lachnospiraceae bacterium. RNAcentral describes it as "bacterial SSU rRNA". It matches the Rfam family "Bacterial small subunit ribosomal RNA", at positions 113 to 723 of the family's 1533-position model. The record is from RNAcentral. Lineage: Bacteria; Bacillati; Bacillota; Clostridia; Lachnospirales; Lachnospiraceae.
ACGCGUGGGUAACCUGCCUCAUACAGGGGGAUAACAGUUAGAAAUGACUGCUACUACCGCAUAAGCGCACAGUGUCGCAUGACACGGUGUGAAAAACUCCGGUGGUAUGAGAUGGACCCGCGUCUGAUUAGCUGGUUGGCGGGGUAACGGCCCACCAAGGCGACGAUCAGUAGCCGACCUGAGAGGGUGAUCGGCCACAUUGGGACUGAGACACGGCCCAAACUCCUACGGGAGGCAGCAGUGGGGAAUAUUGCACAAUGGGGGAAACCCUGAUGCAGCGACGCCGCGUGAAGGACGACGUAUUUCGGUAUGUAAACUUCUAUCAGCAAGGAAGAUGAUGACGGUACUUGACUAAGAAGCCCCGGCUAACUACGUGCCAGCAGCCGCGGUAAUACGUAGGGGGCAAGCGUUAUCCGGAUUUACUGGGUGUAAAGGGAGCGUAGGCGGCCAUGCAAGUCAGAAGUGAAAGCCCGGGGCUCAACCCCGGGACUGCUUUUGAAACUGUAAGGCUAGAUUGCCGGAGAGGUAAGCGGAAUUCCUAGUGUAGCGGUGAAAUGCGUAGAUAUUAGGAGGAACACCAGUGGCGAAGGCG